GAAUGUGAAGGUGACUUGACUGAGACAUCUGUCACUCCACUGAUCUCAGGGUUUCACUGAGUUGAUGUGUUUGGCCUAUUGGGAGUCUCCUUCCUCUCUCACCCUUCAUGCUGUGAAGGCUAUGAACUUGUUCUUUCAAAGAGGAUGAACUUUCCUGCUCUGCUAGGAGAUCACUUUUGCAUGAAGGCAAUAGGAGUAGCUACACUUCCACAACAGAACCCCCAAAUAAGCUCUCUUUUUUUUUAUUUCAUCAUAUUUCCUUCUAGAGCUUUCAAAAGCACUUUUCAUAGCAUGUUAUUAGGU
RNAcentral lists this small nuclear RNA (303 nucleotides) under Erinaceus europaeus (western European hedgehog). RNAcentral's name for it is "7SK RNA". It matches the Rfam family "7SK RNA". From Rfam's summary of the family: 7SK was discovered as an abundant small nuclear RNA in the mid-70s but a possible function has only recently been suggested. Two independent studies have found that 7SK RNA binds the CDK9/cyclin T complex (known as elongation factor P-TEFb). The record is from Rfam by way of RNAcentral. Lineage: Eukaryota; Metazoa; Chordata; Mammalia; Eulipotyphla; Erinaceidae.